Firmicutes bacterium CAG:791 is the source of this 71-nucleotide transfer RNA. It matches the Rfam family "tRNA". Rfam says of the family: Transfer RNA (tRNA) molecules are approximately 80 nucleotides in length. Their secondary structure includes four short double-helical elements and three loops (D, anti-codon, and T loops). Further hydrogen bonds mediate the characteristic L-shaped molecular structure. tRNAs have two regions of fundamental functional importance: the anti-codon, which is responsible for specific mRNA codon recognition, and the 3' end, to which the tRNAs corresponding amino acid is attached (by aminoacyl-tRNA synthetases). tRNAs cope with the degeneracy of the genetic code in two manners: having more than one tRNA (with a specific anti-codon) for a particular amino acid; and 'wobble' base-pairing, i.e. permitting non-standard base-pairing at the 3rd anti-codon position. NCBI's taxonomy places the organism in Bacteria, Bacillati, Bacillota. The record is from Rfam.
UGGCCCGUAGCCAAGAAGAAAGGCCAUGGAUUUUGACUCCAUGAUCGCCGGUGCAAGUCCGACCGGGCUAA